This 373-nucleotide unclassified non-coding RNA is filed under the name Hevea brasiliensis (rubber tree). The record is from RNAcentral. Lineage: Eukaryota; Viridiplantae; Streptophyta; Magnoliopsida; Malpighiales; Euphorbiaceae.
AAAAUAGCAUGCUAGCAAAGCAGGUGAUGAUCUACCUUCAUUAUUCAAAGUCAUUUUAAUUUUAUCCAAUUUCUUUCCAAUGUAUCAUGAAAGAUCUAUGUAUACAUAUAUGUAGAUCACUUUCAGGUAUCUGUAUAUAAAGAUAUAAUAUAUAUGCAAUGUAACUCCACAGUGCUUAGAAUCCUACAUUGGAAGGGUAGGAAGAAAUUAACCCAAUCUUGAAUUUUUAGUUACAUCCAUUUUGUAAAUUAUAUAUAGUGUUAUAAGGAUUAGCAAAUGGCUCUCCACUGAUAACCAAUAGUUUUUGUUAGCCGAUACUGAUAGCGCUGAUGGUAACUAAUUUAUAUUAAGUAUUGGAUGAGCCUAUGAUAAU